GACGAACGCUGGCGGCGUGCUUAACACAUGCAAGUCGAGCGGUAAGGCCCUUUCGGGGGUACGACGAGCGGCGAACGGGUGAGUAACACGUGGGUGACCUGCCCUCAGCUCUGGGAUAAGCCUGGGAAACCGGGUCUAAUACUGGAUAUGACUCCAUGACGCAUGUUGUGGGGUGGAAAGCCUUGUGCGGCUGAGGAUGGGCCCGCGGCCUAUCAGCUUGUUGGUGGGGGAUGGCCUACCAAGGCGACGACGGGUAGCCGGCCUGAGAGGGCGACCGGCCACACUGGGACUGAGACACGGCCCAGACUCCUACGGGAGGCAGCAGUGGGGAAUCUUGCGCAAUGGGCGAAAGCCUGACGCAGCGACGCCGCGUGA
RNAcentral lists this ribosomal RNA (375 nucleotides) under uncultured bacterium. RNAcentral describes it as "bacterial SSU rRNA". It matches the Rfam family "Bacterial small subunit ribosomal RNA", at positions 28 to 404 of the family's 1533-position model. The record is from RNAcentral.